CCUACGGGAGGCAGCAGUGGGGAAUAUUGGGCAAUGGGCGCAAGCCUGACCCAGCAACGCCGCGUGAAGGAAGAAGGCUUUCAGGUUGUAAACUUCCUUUAAGAGGGAAGAGCAGAAGACGGUACCUCAGGCAUAAGCCACGGCUAACUACGUGCCAGCAGCCGCGGUAAUACGUAGGUGGCAAGCGUUAUCCGGAUUUAUUGGGUGUAAAGGGCGUGUAGGCGGGAAAGCAAGUCAGAUGUGAAACCUCAGGGCUCAACCCUGAGCCUGCAUUUGAAACUGUUUUUCUUGAGUGCUGGAGGGGCAAUCGGAAUUCCGGGUGUAGCGGUGAAAUGCGUAGAUAUACGGAGGAACACCAGUGGCGAAGGCGGAUUGCUGGACAGUAACUGACGCUGAGGCGCGAAAGCGUGGGGAGCAAACAGGAUUAGAUACCCGGGUAGUC
Molecule: ribosomal RNA, 442 nt
Filed under: uncultured bacterium
Lineage: Bacteria
Description: partial 16S ribosomal RNA
Rfam family: Bacterial small subunit ribosomal RNA
Source: RNAcentral